Ruditapes philippinarum (Manila clam) is the source of this 602-nucleotide long non-coding RNA. RefSeq lists it as uncharacterized. The record is from RefSeq and is a predicted model, not a curated record. The transcript is spliced from 3 exons. Lineage: Eukaryota; Metazoa; Mollusca; Bivalvia; Venerida; Veneridae.
GUCAUGACAGCUUUCCCGUUGCUGUCAACAAACUUUAACCUUUUUCAUAACUUUUCAGAUCUUGGUGUAUUGUGUUCAUACUUGGCCACAACAACCCUUCAAAUAGACCAGACUAAACUUGACCUCCAUAUAAACAUUCAAGAUGGUCGGCCUACAUGUCAGAUUUGUAAAUGUGAACGGCACUAUAUCGAUUUUAAGGAUGCUUUAGGGUCAAUGAGGAUGAAAUAAAAUGUGAGACUGUCAAUCUGACAAACCUUGCAGUGAAUAAAUGGAAACAGUGGCGUUUGUAUGAUAGAACAGUAAUAGCAGGAGUGAUAAGGACAGAUGCAUGUAGAUGUGUCUUCAUGUCGGAAACACUAGAGAAAUUGACACAUUUGGGUUUUUCAAAACUUAAAGAAAUUGGAAUACCAGGAGACUGCUUGCCAUUUGCAAUGUUGGAAUGUGUGAUGUCGAAAGCCUCAUGAAUAUAGUAACUUGACUUAAUCUAAUAAGAAAAAGAAAAGACAUUGAGGAGAAAACUAGUCACCAGUCUUUCACCAAGAACAUGAGAUAACUUUCCAAUAUUUGAAAUAUCAUAAUAUGUAUAGAACUUGAAUGAGCGA